RNAcentral lists this ribosomal RNA (254 nucleotides) under uncultured bacterium. RNAcentral describes it as "partial 16S ribosomal RNA". It matches the Rfam family "Bacterial small subunit ribosomal RNA", at positions 524 to 776 of the family's 1533-position model. The record is from RNAcentral.
UACGUAGGGGGCGAGCGUUGUCCGAAGUUACUGGGCGUAAAGCGCGCGUAGGCGGUUCUCUAAGUUUGGGGUGAAAGGUUCAGUGCUCAACGCGAACAGUGCCCUGGAGACUGGAGAACUUGAGUGUGGGAGGGGGCAGUGGAAUUCCUGGUGUAGCGGUGAAAUGCGUAGAUAUCAGGAGGAACACCGGUGGCGAAGGCGGCUGCCUGGCCUAACACUGACGCUGAGGUGCGAAAGCGUGGGGAGCGAACGGG